Molecule: ribosomal RNA, 542 nt
Filed under: uncultured bacterium
Lineage: Bacteria
Description: bacterial SSU rRNA
Rfam family: Bacterial small subunit ribosomal RNA
Source: RNAcentral
UGGGGAAUCUUGGACAAUGGGGGCAACCCUGAUCCAGCCAUGCCGCGUGAGUGAUGAAGGCCUUAGGGUCGUAAAGCUCUUUCGCCUGUGAAGAUAAUGACGGUAGCAGGUAAAGAAACCCCGGCUAACUCCGUGCCAGCAGCCGCGGUAAUACGGAGGGGGUUAGCGUUGUUCGGAAUUACUGGGCGUAAAGCGCACGUAGGCGGACCAGAAAGUUGGGGGUGAAAUCCCGGGGGCUCAACCCCGGAACUGCCUCCAAAACUAUUGGUCUAGAGUUCGAGAGAGGUGAGUGGAAUUCCAAGUGUAGAGGUGAAAUUCGUAGAUAUUUGGAGGAACACCAGUGGCGAAGGCGGCUCACUGGCUCGAUACUGACGCUGAGGUGCGAAAGUGUGGGGAGCAAACAGGAUUAGAUACCCUGGUAGUCCACACCGUAAAACGAUGAAUGCCAGUCGUCGGGUAGCAUGCUAUUCGGUGACACACCUAACGGAUUAAGCAUUCCGGCCUGGGGAGUACGGUCGCAAGAUUAAAACUCAAAGGAAUUG